CUGCCUUGGAAACGCAGAGCGCGCGCUCCAGGUAAAGGCUGCUACGCCCAGGACAGGGUUCUCACGGUGGAGGAAAGGACUUCUGCGGGAUACCACGCUGUGCGCCAAAAAGCCGGGCGGCUUCGGAGCCAGAGCAGCGGCUCUGCGGCGCAGGCGGCGGGUCGGGGCAGCCUUGAAGCCGGGAUCCGGCCCGAAGGGGUCUUUUUGGAGUUCCUGAGCUCAGUGCCCCAGAAGGCACAUACUUCAUAUGAAAUAUGAAGGAUUUCAUACUGCACAAGAAAAAGCCUUGAGAAAGACAGAAUUGCUUGUGGACCGUGCGUGUUCCACCCCACCUGGGCCCCAGACCGUGCUGAUCCUUGAUGAGCUCUCGGAUUCCUUGUGCAGAGUGACCGACUUGUUUCGAAAUGACCAGGCUGGCAGUUGGCUGAGCCAGUCUCUUAGAACCCUUUGAAGCACUGGAUGCAGGCUGAUGAGCUGCCAUAAACGUCUUUGAGUCCCAACACUGCUCAGGAACUGCAUAUCAUACCAAAGUCUGCCUGUGUGAUCCUUUAAUUUGUGAAUGUAAAAACUGAGGUGGGAGGCAAAUACUGAUGUUCUCAAAGACCCGUCUCAGCUAUUCCAUUCAAACAGAGCCCAGAAUCUUCAAAAUUCUGCUUCUUCAGCUUACCUCCUGUCUCAGGCUGGUUCCCCAGAAGCAUCCCAGAGAUGCAGAUUUGUGAGAAAGUGAUGUGUUGGGCAGUGUCCCCUGCAGGGAAGUGAGGAUGCAAGACAGUGAGAAGGAAGCCAAGCAAGAGUGCAAUGUCAAGCAAGGUCCCGUGCUUGCAGGGCACUGGCUCCUCCCACAGAGGAGAUUUGGAGACUGAGAGCCCCUCCCUCCAUUGGUCAAGGGCCAUCUCAGAGGGAUGCAUGUUUCUAGGUAUCCCCCACUCUCUCUGCACACAGGUAAAGGAGACUCCAGAAGCAUGAGGGCAGCCCUCUCACAAAGAAGCAUGGGUUCUGGAUACCGAGAGUAAAAGCAAACGUGGAGCCAAGGGGUGUGAAAAUGGGAAAGGGACCCAAGGAAAUAGAGUAGUGCAUCCACCAUGAGUAAGUGCCACAGUCACUGGGUCAGCACCUGCUGUGUCCAACACCAUGCUAAGUAUCGUGGAGAGGAGAGAAGUUACUAGACUUCCCUGCUGUCAUCCUUAAUGGACUAUUGUCUCUUCCCUAGACACCUCAAACUGGGAUUUAAGGUACAUAAGCUCUCAGAAAUGGCUUCCUGGAAUUAUGGCCAUGAACAUCAGUGAACUGUUAGGGUCCGUAGUUACAUCUGGAAAAUGACUGCCGUUUCAAUACACAGGAUUAGUUACAAUAACAGCAACAGCCAUAAUAAUAAUGUGGCAGAGACUAGCUUGAUGCUCAUCACAUCUCUACCUGGGCACAUAGCAAAGUUUUCUAUUCCAGCUCCCACCCUGGAUCUCGGGUCCUAGUUCUCAACAACGAAAUGCUUCCAAGCCAAGUUAAAGCAGCCACAACUUUCAAACGAAAACCUAAAGAUCCUGUGUUGAAGACAGUGGCACCUUAAAAUGCAAGGGCAGUAUCCUUGAGUCCUCAGGUCACCAGAAAGCCACCCGAUCAGGACCAUCGACACUAGACUCUGUGUUAGUGAGAAACAAACUUGUGUUAAGCCAUCAUGAUUUUAAAGUUGUUAGCAGUCAGCUUGCUCCAAUAGGAUGAACACUAAUAAACAUAGCGGUAACAACCUGCUGGGUAGUAUCAUUAUUCUCACUUUGUUGGUGAGGAACUUGAGGCCCAAAAUGGUCAGAAAGUUAGCAGAUGGCAGAGCUGGUAUUUCAAGUCUAUUUUUUAAUCCCUAUCUUGCACUCCUUGGUCACGUAAACCUUGUGUGAAUAUGUUUGAUGCUUUAAUGGAGCAAAGAGGAGAAUAUUAAAAUACCAGGUUUCUUGGGUGGGAUGUGGAGUGAGGAGGAAGAACACAAAACGGAAAGGCUCCACGCAUCAGAAGCCAAGCUUUGGGCACUCCACAGUUUUGCUAAAGACUUCCCUGUCUGCUCACAUCUGGUCUGUUCCCCAGUAUCCUCACUGUAUUAAAGUUGUUUCUUUGU
RNAcentral lists this long non-coding RNA (2104 nucleotides) under Homo sapiens (human). Its description in RNAcentral is "non-protein coding lnc-MRPL57-5:2". Lineage: Eukaryota; Metazoa; Chordata; Mammalia; Primates; Hominidae. The record is from RNAcentral.